CUCGUUCUGGGUAAAUAGAGUUUCUAUCAUUUAUGGUAGUUUCUGUUCCCGGAUAGUUUAGUUACGUAGCCAAUUGUGGAACUUUCUUGCUGAAAUUUUUAAGAAUACUAAUUGGGUAACCAAUUAGUUCUUUUAAAUUAUAACGAUUGUCAAUUAACAAUCAAUUCAGAACUGGCACGGACUUGGAGAAUCCGACUGUCUAAUUAAAACAAAGCACUGUGAUGGCCCUAGCGGGUGUUGACACAAUGUGAUUUCUGCCCAGUGCUCUGAAUGUCAAAGUGAAGAAAUUCAAGUAAGCGCGGGUCAACGGCGGGAGUAACUAUGACUCUCUUUCAGGAAGCAAACCAAAUGCCUCGUCAUCUAAUAAGUGACGCGCAUGAAUGGAUUAACGAGAUUCCUAGUGUCCCUAUCUACUCAGUUUA
Long non-coding RNA from Drosophila innubila, 422 nucleotides. RefSeq lists it as uncharacterized. Lineage: Eukaryota; Metazoa; Arthropoda; Insecta; Diptera; Drosophilidae. The record is from RefSeq and is a predicted model, not a curated record. The transcript has 4 exons.